RNAcentral lists this ribosomal RNA (480 nucleotides) under uncultured Actinomycetales bacterium. RNAcentral describes it as "bacterial SSU rRNA". It matches the Rfam family "Bacterial small subunit ribosomal RNA", at positions 28 to 523 of the family's 1533-position model. The record is from RNAcentral. Lineage: Bacteria; Bacillati; Actinomycetota; Actinomycetes; Actinomycetales.
GACGAACGCUGGCGGCGUGCUUAACACAUGCAAGUCGAACGGAAAGGCCCUGCUUGCAGGGUACUCGAGUGGCGAACGGGUGAGUAACACGUGGGUGAUCUGCCCUGCACUUCGGGAUAAGCCUGGGAAACUGGGUCUAAUACCGGAUAGGAGCCAUUUUUAGUGUGAUGGUUGGAAAGUUUUUCGGUGUAGGAUGAGCUCGCGGCCUAUCAGCUUGUUGGUGGGGUAAUGGCCUACCAAGGCGGCGACGGGUAGCCGGCCUGAGAGGGUGGACGGCCACAUUGGGACUGAGAUACGGCCCAGACUCCUACGGGAGGCAGCAGUGGGGAAUAUUGCACAAUGGGCGCAAGCCCGAUGCAGCGACGCCGCGUGGGGGAUGACGGCCUUCGGGUUGUAAACUCCUUUCGCUAGGGACGAAGCUUUUUGUGACGGUACCUAGAUUAGAAGCACCGGCUAACUACGUGCCAGCAGCCGCGGUAA